CCUACGGGUGGCAGCAGUGAGGAAUAUUGGUCAAUGGCCGUGAGCCUGAACCAGCCAAGUCGCGUGAGGGAUGACGGCUCUAUGGGUUGUAAACCUCUUUUAUCAGGGAAUAAAGCGCGGGACGUGUGCCUUUUUGUAUGUACCUUAUGAAUAAGGAUCGGCUAACUCCGUGCCAGCAGCCGCGGUAAUACGGAGGAUCCGAGCGUUAUCCGGAUUUAUUGGGUUUAAAGGGUGCGUAGGCGGAAUUUUAAAUCAGCGGUGAAAGUCUGUGGCUCAACCAUAGAAUUGCCGUUGAAACUGGGAGGCUUGAGUGUGUUUGAGGCAUGCGGAAUGCGUGGUGUAGCGGUGAAAUGCUUAGAUAUCACGCAGAACCCCGAUUGCGAAGGCAGCCUGCCAAGCCAUGACUGACGCUGAUGCACGAAAGCGUGGGGAUCAAACAGGAUUAGAUACCCUUGUAGUC
This 460-nucleotide ribosomal RNA is filed under the name uncultured bacterium. RNAcentral describes it as "partial 16S ribosomal RNA". It matches the Rfam family "Bacterial small subunit ribosomal RNA", at positions 338 to 795 of the family's 1533-position model. The record is from RNAcentral.